GGUCCCGUAGCUCAACUGGAUAGAGCGGCCGACUUCUAAUCGGCAGGUUGGGCGUUCGAGUCGUCCCGGGAUCGCCA
RNAcentral lists this transfer RNA (77 nucleotides) under Paracoccus jeotgali. Its description in RNAcentral is "tRNA-Arg". It matches the Rfam family "tRNA". Rfam says of the family: Transfer RNA (tRNA) molecules are approximately 80 nucleotides in length. Their secondary structure includes four short double-helical elements and three loops (D, anti-codon, and T loops). Lineage: Bacteria; Pseudomonadati; Pseudomonadota; Alphaproteobacteria; Rhodobacterales; Paracoccaceae. The record is from RNAcentral.